Molecule: long non-coding RNA, 1073 nt
Organism: Carassius carassius (crucian carp)
Lineage: Eukaryota; Metazoa; Chordata; Actinopteri; Cypriniformes; Cyprinidae
Exons: 3
Source: RefSeq, a predicted model, not a curated record
UUCAACAAGUUGUUAUUUUACCAAAGCAAAAUUACUGCUUCGCAACACUGUCCAGAGACAUUCACUCUGAUAUCUAACCUGUUAAAACAAUACAGUGUACAAUCAUAAGGUUAAACAGUAAUGAAGCAAUGGCAAUGACAAGUGAUUUAAACCACCAUCUUCACUGAUGCAAUAUGACCAGUUUGGGGUGAUGAACAGAAUGUGUGCCUUAAUACAUGUACGAUUUUGGGUGACCUAAAAUAAAAAGCAUUAAAUCAGAAUGGCCGUGGAUUCUGCUGUGGACGAGUGCCACAGGCAAUCACAUCAAUGCUGAUAUGGCAUUGUUUGGAGUUGGGAAAUCUUUUCAGUUUAUCAGUUUUAGCUCUAUGGCUGAAUUUGAACUUUUCAAGUAAAGUUACAUGAGCAGACCUUUAGGAACACUCUGUGGUCUAACAUAAUUCAAUAAAAUAAAAAAAAUGACCCUAAUUUUAUGCUGAUUUAUUUUCUACUGCAGGACACAGAGCCAGAAGACAUUCACAAGGGGAGAAGAUGAGGAUCUUAACUAUCGUUGAAGAUGAUGUUGCCACUAUCCACCAUCCACCCAAACUUAAAUAUAAGUUGCCUCUCUGUAGUAGAGCAGAUUGGGCCAGGUUUAGUGCAUGUAGUCAAUCGAAAAAAAUUGCUCUACCAUGUCCAGUCGGAGGCUCAAGAAUGGAGACAUUGGAAUGUCCUCAUUCUCCUGACAUCUGGUCACUUCAGCAUGGUGUUCUUCUGUUUAAAGAUUUCCUCAUUUGUCUGGUUUUAAAGGACCAAGUGUCAGCAUUACAGGAAAGGCACAGAUGGGUGAAAGCUGAUGAAUGACACAAGUUUUUCCUCUAUAUGUAUUCAGCAGUGGCAUAGUUGAAUGGGGCAUAUACAUACUUGGUCCAACACACACGCAAGUGUGUGCACAACAAACAGGAUAUUUGACAAAAAAGAGCAGAAGGGGUUUUACAUAACACUUUCCUUACCAGAGGCAGAAGAAAUACAACACAAGUACCAGAGUUUAGUUAAACAUUAACUGAGUUUCUGAGUGUCCAUGGAAAAGUGCAAAA